Molecule: ribosomal RNA, 370 nt
Filed under: uncultured organism
Description: bacterial SSU rRNA
Rfam family: Bacterial small subunit ribosomal RNA
Source: RNAcentral
CGGAGGGUGCUAAGCGUUAUCCGGAUUCACUGGGUUUAAAGGGUGCGUAGGUGGGCAGGUAAGUCAGUGGUGAAAUCUCCGGGCUUAACCCGGAAACUGCCAUUGAUACUAUCUGUCUUGAAUACCCUGGAGGUGAGCGGAAUAUGUCAUGUAGCGGUGAAAUGCUUAGAUAUGACAUAGAACACCCAUUGCGAAGGCAGCUCACUACGGGAAUAUUGACACUGAGGCACGAAAGCGUGGGGAUCAUACAGGAUUAGAUACCCCUGGUAGUCCACGCCCUAAACUAUGGAUACUCGACAUCAGCGAUAAACUGUUGGUGUCUGAGCGAAAGCAUUAGGUAUCCCACCUGGGAAGUACGAUCGCAAGAUUG